UGUGUGCUUGUUGAUUUCUUU
Molecule: non-coding RNA, 21 nt
Filed under: Arabidopsis thaliana (thale cress)
Lineage: Eukaryota; Viridiplantae; Streptophyta; Magnoliopsida; Brassicales; Brassicaceae
Source: RNAcentral